CUGCAGAUCACUCUCCGGGCCGGUAACCUGCAGGUUGCUUGACGGCCAUGGUUUACAGGCCGUCCGGGUACUGCCGGGAAACCGGCGCGCCUCCCGUUAAUGGAAAGGGGGCAAAACUAUCCCGGU
Molecule: non-coding RNA, 126 nt
Filed under: anaerobic digester metagenome
Description: MOCO_RNA_motif
Rfam family: Molybdenum/Tungsten riboswitch aptamer (Moco RNA motif)
Source: RNAcentral